Molecule: ribosomal RNA, 496 nt
Filed under: uncultured bacterium
Lineage: Bacteria
Description: partial 16S ribosomal RNA
Rfam family: Bacterial small subunit ribosomal RNA
Source: RNAcentral
ACGAACGCUGGCGGCGUGCCUAAUACAUGCAAGUUGCGCGAUGAAGAUUGGUGCUUGCACCAAUUUGAAGAGCAGCGAACGGGUGAGUAACGCGUGGGGAAUCUGCCUUUGAGCGGGGGACAACAUUUGGAAACGAAUGCUAAUACCGCAUAACAACUUUAAACAUAAGUUUUAAGUUUGAAAGAUGCAAUUGCAUCACUCAAAGAUGAUCCCGCGUUGUAUUAGCUAGUUGGUGAGGUAAAGGCUCACCAAGGCGAUGAUACAUAGCCGACCUGAGAGGGUGAUCGGCCACAGUGGGACUGAGACACGGCCCAAACUCCUACGGGAGGCAGCAGUAGGGAAUCUUCGGCAAUGGACGAAAGUCUGGCCGAGCAACGCCGCGUGAGUGAAGAAGGUUUUCGGAUCGUAAAACUCUGUUGGUAGAGAAGAACGUUGGUGAGAGUGGAAAGCUCAUCAAGUGACGGUAACUACCCAGAAAGGGACGGCUAACUACGUG